This 465-nucleotide ribosomal RNA is filed under the name uncultured bacterium. Its description in RNAcentral is "partial 16S ribosomal RNA". It matches the Rfam family "Bacterial small subunit ribosomal RNA", at positions 28 to 507 of the family's 1533-position model. The record is from RNAcentral.
GACGAACGCUGGCGGCGUGCUUAACACAUGCAAGUCGAACGGAAAGGCCCUGCUUUUGUGGGGUGCUCGAGUGGCGAACGGGUGAGUAACACGUGAGUAACCUGCCCUUGACUUUGGGAUAACUUCAGGAAACUGGGGCUAAUACCGGAUAGGAGCUCCUGCUGCAUGGUGGGUUGGAAAGUUUCGGCGGUUGGGAUGGACUCGCGGCUUAUCAGCUUGUUGGUGGGGUAGUGGCUUACCAAGGCUUUGACGGGUAGCCGGCCUGAGAGGGUGACCGGCCACAUUGGGACUGAGAUACGGCCCAGACUCCUACGGGAGGCAGCAGUGGGGAAUAUUGCACAAUGGGCGGAAGCCUGAUGCAGCAACGCCGCGUGCGGGAUGACGGCCUUCGGGUUGUAAACCGCUUUCGCCUGUGACGAAGCGUGAGUGACGGUAAUGGGUAAAGAAGCACCGGCUAACUACGUG